AUAAUUCCUUGACGUCUGUUGCCCCCGUUGAUGUUGUUGAUCCGUUAUUGCCAAAUGUGGGUGGAAGUCAAUUCCAUUGAAGGUGUCAGCUUUCUGUUGAAAAUUGCUCCAAGAUAGAAUCGCUACAAAAAAAAAAAAAAAACUUAAGACCAAAAGGAACAUUUUGUUAGGCAAUGAUUCUUCAUCUUCUGCUAUCUGCUCAGUGAAUCCCGAAUCGAUUUUUCACUUGAUGGUUGAGUGUCACUUUGUGAAUCAAGUCUAUUCCCUGGUGAGUUGUUGGCUGAACUAUAUUCUUAUUCCCCCCUUUUUAUCUGCACAACCA
RNAcentral lists this long non-coding RNA (322 nucleotides) under Salvia miltiorrhiza (redroot sage). RNAcentral describes it as "long non-coding RNA (SMIL_LNC001490)". The record is from RNAcentral. Lineage: Eukaryota; Viridiplantae; Streptophyta; Magnoliopsida; Lamiales; Lamiaceae.